CUUGUUUAACUAAAUAUAAGAGGUCCCGCCUGCCCUGUGACCACAUGUUUAACGGCCGCGGUACUCUGACCGUGCGAAGGUAGCGAAAUCACUUGUCUCUUAAAUGGAGACCUGUAUGAAUGGCACGACGAGGGCUUAGCUGUCUCCUUUUCCUAGUCAAUGAAAUUGAUCUCCCCGUGCAGAAGCGGGGCUGCCACCAUAAGACGAGAAGACCCUAUGGAGCUUUAGACACCAGGCAGCCCAUACCAAACGAACCUGCUUUACCAGAAAGAACCCUAUGGCCCCUCGCCUACUUGUCUUUGGUUGGGGCGACCGCGGAGGAAAAAAUAGCCUCCAUGAAGACUGAGAGCACCGCUCUCACAAGCAAGACCCACCGCUCUAAACAACAGAACUUCUGACCAAGUGACCCGGCCUGCGCCGAUUAACGGACCCAGUUACCCUAGGGAUAACAGCGCAAUCCUCUCUCAGAGUCCCUAUCGACGAGCGGGUUUACGACCUCGAUGUUGGAUCAGGACAUCCUAAUGGUGCAGCCGCUAUUAAGGGUUCGUUUGUUCAACGAUUAACAGUCCU
RNAcentral lists this ribosomal RNA (570 nucleotides) under Tactostoma macropus (longfin dragonfish). RNAcentral describes it as "partial large subunit ribosomal RNA". It matches the Rfam family "Bacterial large subunit ribosomal RNA", at positions 1830 to 2597 of the family's 2925-position model. The record is from RNAcentral. Lineage: Eukaryota; Metazoa; Chordata; Actinopteri; Stomiiformes; Stomiidae.